GUGGGGAAUCUUGCACAAUGGGGGCAACCCUGAUGCAGCGACGCCGCGUGAGCGAUGAAGCCCUUUGGGGCGUAAAGCUCUUUCGACCGGAACGAUAAUGACGGUACCGGGAGGAGAAGCUGCGGCUAACUACGUGCCAGCAGCCGCGGUAAUACGUAGGCAGCAAGCGUUGUUCGGAGUUACUGGGCGUAAAGAGUGCGUAGGCGGUUUUCUAAGUUCGGUGUGAAAUCUCCCGGCUUAACUGGGAGGGUGCGCCGAAGACUGGGAAGCUGGAGUGUGGGAAAGGCAGGUGGAAUUCCUGGUGUAGCGGUGAAAUGCGUAGAUAUCAGGAGGAACACCUGCGGUGUAGACGGCUUGCUAGACCAUAACUGACGCUGAGGCACGAAAGCGUGGGUAGCAAACA
RNAcentral lists this ribosomal RNA (403 nucleotides) under uncultured bacterium. RNAcentral describes it as "bacterial SSU rRNA". It matches the Rfam family "Bacterial small subunit ribosomal RNA", at positions 354 to 774 of the family's 1533-position model. The record is from RNAcentral.